UAAUAAAGUGAUAUUAGUCAAAACCCCGUUUAUAAAAUAACGCUGGUCAGGGGAAGUAAUUGUUGCGGUCUAUGAUUUUGUUUGUUGUCUAUGAUUAUCGUUCGUGCAAAUGGUGGCGCUGUUUGGAAAAUUUGAAAACAACACGAUUUGCAAUUUAUUUGGAUUUCGAAGAUCCUGGUCCUGGCUGAAAUUUAGAGUAUUGCAGCUGUAGUCUGUAUACCAUACACUCAACAUGAAAAGGACUGUCAGGAUGCUGCAUAAAAUGGUCUUAGCUAGAGCCUAGAAUGUUAAUUUCUUGGGAAUAUGCUGCAAGGAACUGACAGGGAGCAGUUUUUCUUACCAAUUAUAGAAGCAGUAAUAGACAGCCAAAGAAGUACUCAAACACCUGACAUACCCAGAAAGAUCUAGAAGAAAAGAUUGGAACAGAUUGUAGCAUAAUUGUUAAAACUAUUAAAGUGAAUUUAAGCUGCACUUGAACUGUAUUUUUUAAAUAAAAUAUCUGAAGUAUUUAA
Long non-coding RNA from Ruditapes philippinarum (Manila clam), 512 nucleotides. RefSeq lists it as uncharacterized. Lineage: Eukaryota; Metazoa; Mollusca; Bivalvia; Venerida; Veneridae. The record is from RefSeq and is a predicted model, not a curated record. The transcript has 4 exons.